AGAACGAACGCUGGCGGCAGGCCUCAAACAUGCAAGUCUAGGGGGCGUAGCAAUACGUCACCGGCGGACGGGUGCGUAACACGUGGGAAUGUACUUACUGGUUCGGAACAACUCAGGGAAACUUGAGCUAAUACCGAAUGUGCCCGAAAGGGGAAAGAUUUAUCGCCAGUAAAUCAGCCCGCGUCCGAUUAGCUAGUUGGUGGGGUAAAGGCCCACCAAGGCGACGAUCGGUAGCUGUUCUGAGAGGAAGAUCAGCCACACUGGGACUGAGACACGGCCCAGACUCCUACGGGAGGCAGCAGUUGGGAAUCUUGGACAAUGGGGGAAACCCUGAUCCAGCCAUGCCGCGUGGGUGAUGAAGGCCUUCGGGUUGUAAAACUCUUUCGACGGGGACGAUAAUGACGGUACCCGUAGAAGAAGCUCCGGCUAACUUCGCGCCAGCAGCCGC
This 448-nucleotide ribosomal RNA is filed under the name uncultured bacterium. RNAcentral describes it as "SSU rRNA". It matches the Rfam family "Bacterial small subunit ribosomal RNA", at positions 26 to 518 of the family's 1533-position model. The record is from RNAcentral.